CCGCGGGAUUAGAGUUUGAUCCUGGCUCAGAACGAACGUUGGCGGCGUGGAUUAGGCAUGCAAGUCGAACGAAUCCCUGGGGGCUUGCUCCCAGGGGGAAGUGGCGAAAGGGGCAGUAAUGUAUGGGUAACCUACCUUGGGGACCGGGAUAGCCUUCCUAACGGAUGGGUAAUACCGGGCGAUGUGGUUGAGAGGCAUCUCUUGACUAUGAGAUGAAUUUCGCCUCGGGAGGGGCUCAUAUCGUAUUAGCUAGUUGGUAGGGUAACGGCCUACCAAGGCGAAGAUGCGUAGCGGGUGUGAGAGCACGACCCGCGCCACUGGCACUGAGACACUGGCCAGACUCCUACGGGAGGCUGCAGUCGAGGAUCUUCGGCAAUGGGCGCAAGCCUGACCGAGCGACGCCGCGUGAGCGAUGAAGGCCUUCGGGUUGUAAAGCUCUUUAGUGGGGGAGAAAAGCGCAAGCUUGAUCUAUCCAAAGAAUAAGCACGGGCUAAGUUCGUGCCAGCAGCCGCGGUAAGACGAACCGUGCGAACGUUGUUCGGAAUCACUGGGCUUAAAGGGCGCGUAGGCGGCUUGCCAAGUCCGGGGUGAAAGCCUCCAGCUUAACUGGAGAAGUGCCUUGGAUACUGGCGAGCUCGAGGGAGGUAGGGGCAGAUGGAACUUCCGGUGGAGCGGUGAAAUGCGUUGAUAUCGGAAGGAACGCCGGUGGCGAAAGCGAUCUGCUGGACCUCUUCUGACGCUGAGGCGCGAAAGCCAGGGGAGAGAACGGGAUUAGAUACCCCGGUAUUCCUGGCCCUAAACGAUGGGUACUAGAUAGUGGACUUAACAUGGGUUCACUGUCGAAGCAAAAGUGAUAAGUACCCCGCCUGGGGAGUAUGGU
This 880-nucleotide ribosomal RNA is filed under the name uncultured Planctomycetota bacterium. RNAcentral's name for it is "bacterial SSU rRNA". It matches the Rfam family "Bacterial small subunit ribosomal RNA", at positions 1 to 886 of the family's 1533-position model. Lineage: Bacteria; Pseudomonadati; Planctomycetota. The record is from RNAcentral.